Molecule: ribosomal RNA, 256 nt
Filed under: uncultured bacterium
Lineage: Bacteria
Description: partial 16S ribosomal RNA
Rfam family: Bacterial small subunit ribosomal RNA
Source: RNAcentral
GACAGAGGUGCCGAGCGUUAGGCGGAAUCACUGGGCUUAAAGCGUGUGUAGGCGGGCCGUUAAGUGUCUUGUGAAAUCCCCCCGGCUCAACCGGGGAAUUGCUGGGCAUACUGGCGGUCUUGAGCAAUCUAGGGGCAGAUGGAACAAGUGGUGGAGCGGUGAAAUGCGUAGAUAUCACUUGGAACGCCAACGGUGAAGACAGUCUGCUGGGGAUUUGCUGACGCUGAGACACGAAAGCCAGGGGGAGCGAACGGGG